RNAcentral lists this long non-coding RNA (1569 nucleotides) under Citrus sinensis (sweet orange). RNAcentral describes it as "long non-coding RNA (CSIN_LNC000082)". The record is from RNAcentral. Lineage: Eukaryota; Viridiplantae; Streptophyta; Magnoliopsida; Sapindales; Rutaceae.
UCAAGACGGAUGACAAGAUGAGGUUGGUUUUGCUUUUGCUCAGCGAAGUAACUAACUAACUGGGUUUUGUUCACUAUUCCCAACCCAUGACAGUUCCCUGCAGCUGUCGAUUAACUGGGUUUGACGUUCAGAUUCGUCUUAGUUCGGCUCGGAUUUGGCUAGAUUCUAGUCGAUCGGUGUCGGUCGCGGCUGAGUUUAAAGAUGGACGAGGUUGUGCUAACAGUGGCAUGGUCGUUGGACUGUCGCCGGUGGGUUAAUGGGUUCAAGACGGAUGACGACGGGAUGAGGCUGGUUUUGCUUUUUGCUCGGUUGCUUGCUCUAUCGUUUGUUGUUUAUAUGGUUGGCUGUAAGCCUGUGACUGACAGACUUGAGUCAGACGAACUUGUGAAAUAAGUUUAGUUGUUUGCUUGUUUUCGCAUUUAGUUUUUUUUUUUUAAACAGUGCAGAUCCGAUCGGAUGAUUCGGAUUGAUCCGAAUCCGAUCCGAUUGGAAACAAAUCCGAUCGGAUCGCACAUAUUUCAUCCAAUCGGAUUUGCCUUCAAAUCCGAUUUGGGAACAUACAAUAGUGGCUAUAACAAUUAGGCCUGUAAUUAAACUAGCCUAAUUAUUUAAUUCUAAAUCUACUCCACUAAAAGAUUGGAACUGACUUCCAUAAUUGUAUGCUUGAAUAAUAAUUCGUCCCAAGCCACAUUGAUUUCUUUACUGCAUAAUCCUUUGUACCACAUCGUUAAUUAAAUUGAUAUCUCAACUGUCCAAUCAAUUUAAUAACAUCUUAUUCCUUGAUCCUUAUUGGUUUUCUCUAAUGAUCAUUUUCAACAUACUAAAUAUGUUGACAUACUCUGGCCAGAGAAUUCUAUGAUCAAGUGCCGAAAACCUAUCAAGAGAUGUGUUGUACAAAUUCUAUAUUGUUAAUCCAUAACUCCAUUACUCAUAAUUGCUCCCACCAAGAUACCGGGUAAUCUUGCCACAAUUGUGUGUGGUGCCCAUUGGUAACUCAAAUGGAAUAACAAUUACAGUCAUGAAAUCAUAAUUAACUCAAGAUUAAGAUUACAGUAAAAUAAAUGCCUAUGAGAUUUAAUAAGUUUGACAGUUAUUACAAAGUUAAUUAAAUCUCAUAUGUGAUCCUGUUUAAUGUAGUCGUACUACAUCAAUAAAUUCAUACAUGAUUAAGACAAAUCAUUCAAUGAAUUUAUUACAGUCUAUACCUAAAUAAAGUGCCCAACUUUAUUUAUCAACUGUGAACUAAAUUUAUUUAAUCAUAAGAUAACUUGUAUUUAUGUCUUCUGUGAAUCCACAUGGUGAUCACAUAAAUACAUAUAAUAUGAUUAAAUGGACUUUAAUACAAAUAUAAAUGCAAUUAAGAUAUUUGAAUAAAAUACCUCAUUUAUUUUAUUAAUCAGAAAAAUUGUUUAUUACAAUUAAAUAAAUACAUAUGCUUUUAAAGAGCAUAUUAUCCCAACAGGUUUGACGUUCAUAUUCGUCUUGGUUCGGCUCGGAUUUGGCUAGAUUCCAGUCGAUCGGUGUCGGCCGCGGCUGAGUUUGAAGACGGAUGAGGCUGUGCUGAUAGUG